CAGUCGCCGCGGUAAAACGGAGGGCGCGAGCGUUACCCGGAUUUACUGGGCGUAAAGGGCGUGUAGGCGGCCUGGGGCGUCCCAUGUGAAAGGCCACGGCUCAACCGUGGAGGAGCGUGGGAUACGCUCAGGCUAGAGGGUGGGAGAGGGUGGUGGAAUUCCCGGAGUAGCGGUGAAAUACGCAGAUACCGGGAGGAACGCCGAUGGCGAAGGCAGCCACCUGGUCCACUUCUGACGCUGAGGCGCGAAAGCGUGGGGAGCAAACCGGAUUAGAUACCCCUGUAGUCCCUGUCUCUUAUAC
RNAcentral lists this ribosomal RNA (301 nucleotides) under uncultured bacterium. RNAcentral describes it as "partial 16S ribosomal RNA". It matches the Rfam family "Bacterial small subunit ribosomal RNA", at positions 509 to 807 of the family's 1533-position model. The record is from RNAcentral.